Molecule: ribosomal RNA, 397 nt
Filed under: uncultured Nitrosospira sp.
Lineage: Bacteria; Pseudomonadati; Pseudomonadota; Betaproteobacteria; Nitrosomonadales; Nitrosomonadaceae
Description: bacterial SSU rRNA
Rfam family: Bacterial small subunit ribosomal RNA
Source: RNAcentral
CAAGACCUUGCGCUUUUGGAGCGGCCGAUGUCUGAUUAGCUAGUUGGUGGGGUAAAGGCCUACCAAGGCUACGAUCAGUAGCUGGUCUGAGAGGACGAUCAGCCACACUGGGACUGAGACACGGCCCAGACUCCUACGGGAGGCAGCAGUGGGGAAUUUUGGACAAUGGGGGCAACCCUGAUCCAGCCAUGCCGCGUGAGUGAAGAAGGCCUUCGGGUUGUAAAGCUCUUUCAGCCGGAACGAAACGGUUACGGUUAAUACCCGUGACUAAUGACGGUACCGGAAGAAGAAGCACCGGCUAACUACGUGCCAGCAGCCGCGGUAAUACGUAGGGUGCGAGCGUUAAUCGGAAUUACUGGGCGUAAAGCGUGCGCAGGCGGUUUUGUAAGUCAGAUGU